This 1042-nucleotide ribosomal RNA is filed under the name Calisoga sp. R DHL-215. RNAcentral's name for it is "partial 12S ribosomal RNA". The record is from RNAcentral. Lineage: Eukaryota; Metazoa; Arthropoda; Arachnida; Araneae; Nemesiidae.
CCCACAAAGGUAACCUCAACCUAUCCCAUUUGGCGGCCUUCAAUCUUAUUAAAGGAACUUGUUGUGUAACCGAUGAUACGCGAUAAUUUUAGCUUAAACCUAGUUUUUAUACCGCCGUCCAAAGGAUAAAAUAAAAUAUUUUAUUCGCUCCAUACCUCCUCAAGUAAAAAUGUCAGGUCAAGGUGAAGUCAAUGUUUAAGUUUCAAUGAGUUAUCAAUAAAAAUAAUUUAUGGACUUUUGUUUAAAAACACAAACCGAAUCAAGAUUUAAAAGUAUUUUCAGUACAAUACACUGAAAAGAAUAAGCAAAAAAGGUGUACAUAUCGCCCGUCGCCCUCGUCCAAAGAUGAGGUAAGUCGUAACACAGUUAAUAUACUGGAAAGUGUAUUAAGCGUAACAUUUCCAAGCUUUUAGUAUUUCACUUACACUGAAAAGAUAUCAUUUUACUUUUACUUAAUUUUCUAUUCACAAAAUCUUCACAUUCAUAUUAAUCUAAUUCCAUAUACCAAAAACUGUAAAGGUUUACAAAAAUAUAAAUAGAGUAAGUUUAUGUACCUUUUGUAUCAGGGAUUUUCUAACCAUUAUGAGCAUCUCAAACUCCCGAAACAAGACGAACUUUGUUACUUUAGUAAAAGUUGUGGCACAAACAAUAUAAAUUUUACAAAGUUGAGAUAUUCUAUUCAAGUUUUUCUAUAUCUGGUUCACUUCACAUUAAUUCUCAACAUGGUCCUAAGAAUAAGCUUCGCACCAAGUUUUCCGCUUUCUCUUUCAUUCAAUCCAGAUUUAAUAGUAUCCGCAUUGUUUUUAAACGCCAAAACCCAAUUUGUUUAAACAAAUUCCUAAAGUGAGUCACCCCAUCAAUCUUACAAUGAAAAUAUCAGUAAAAUUUUCCUUUUCCUUAACGCUAAAUCCCCUCCCCUUAACCAUAAAUUAACAUUGCUUUUAUGAACUAGGCCCCAAUCAAUUGACUGUUUAUCAAAAACAUAGCUAAUAGAUCUCAAUUACUAGUAGUACCUGCUCAGUGAAUAAUAAAUAGCCGCAAA